Molecule: transfer RNA, 78 nt
Filed under: Hyosciurus heinrichi (montane long-nosed squirrel)
Lineage: Eukaryota; Metazoa; Chordata; Mammalia; Rodentia; Sciuridae
Description: tRNA-Gly
Source: RNAcentral
ACUCUCUUAGUAUAACAACAUAGUACAACUGACUUCCAAUCAGCUAGCCCCAGUGAACAAUCAACCUGGGAGAGAGUA